This 253-nucleotide ribosomal RNA is filed under the name uncultured prokaryote. RNAcentral describes it as "partial 16S ribosomal RNA". It matches the Rfam family "Bacterial small subunit ribosomal RNA", at positions 525 to 777 of the family's 1533-position model. The record is from RNAcentral.
ACGUAGGAGGCGAGCGUUGUCCGGAGUUACUGGGCGUAAAGGGUGCGCAGGCGGCCCCGCGCGUGGGUGGUGAAAUCUCCCGGCUCACCUGGGAGGGGGCCAUCCAGACGGCGGGGCUUGAGGUUCGGAGAGGGACGUGGAAUUCCGGGUGGAGCGGUGAAAUGCGUAGAGAUCCGGAGGAACACCGACGGCGAAGGCAGCGUCCUGGCCGAAAUCUGACGCUCAGGCACGAAAGCUGGGGGAGCAAACAGGA